RNAcentral lists this ribosomal RNA (359 nucleotides) under Phelsuma guimbeaui. Its description in RNAcentral is "partial 16S ribosomal RNA". It matches the Rfam family "Bacterial large subunit ribosomal RNA", at positions 1969 to 2519 of the family's 2925-position model. Lineage: Eukaryota; Metazoa; Chordata; Lepidosauria; Squamata; Gekkonidae. The record is from RNAcentral.
CUUUCUUCUAAAUAGAGACUUGUAUGAACGGUCAAAUGAGGGCCUAACUGUCUCCUGUAGCUAAUCAAUGAACUUGAGCUUACAGUACAAACACUGUAAUACAACUAUAAGACGAGAAGACCCUGUGGAGCUUAAAGCUACUACAUUAACUUAAUACCGCGACCAUUAUGAGUAUAAUGUAAACUUUAAGUUGGGGCGACUAUGGAGUAAAAAAAACCCUCCAUGCAACACGACUAAAACUCGCCAUUCUAGGCCAACAAGCCAAUCCAAAAAGACCCAGUAAAACUGACUAUCGAACCAAGUUACCCCAGGGAUAACAGCGCCAUCCCCUUAAAGAGUUCACAUCGCCAAGGGGGUUU